This 460-nucleotide ribosomal RNA is filed under the name uncultured bacterium. RNAcentral's name for it is "bacterial SSU rRNA". It matches the Rfam family "Bacterial small subunit ribosomal RNA", at positions 28 to 533 of the family's 1533-position model. The record is from RNAcentral.
GAUGAGCGCUAGCGGUAUGCUUAACACAUGCAAGUCGUACGGGAGUUUUUUAACUCAAGUGGCGCACGGGUGCGUAACACGUGGGAAUUUGCCUCGGGGUAUGGAAUAACUCAGGGAAACUUGAGCUAAUACCAUAUAAUGUCUUCGGACCAAAGAUUUAUCGCCCUGAGAUAAGCCCGCGUAGGAUUAGCUAGUUGGUGGGGUAAAGGCCUACCAAGGCGACGAUCCAUAGCUGGUCUGAGAGGAUGAUCAGCCACACUGGGACUGAGACACGGCCCAGACUCCUACGGGAGGCAGCAGUGGGGAAUAUUGGACAAUGGGGCGAAAGCCUGAUCCAGCAAUGCCGCGUGAGUGAUGAAGGCCUUAGGGUUGUAAAGCUCUUUACCCGAGAUGAUAAUGACUGUACCGGAAGAAUAAGCCCGGCUAACUUCGUGCCAGCAGCCGCGGUAAAGUGACUACU